UACGUAGGUGGCAAGCGUUGUCCGGAUUUAUUGGGUUUAAAGGGUGCGUAGGUGGCCCUGUAAGUCAGUGGUGAAAUAUCUCAGCUUAACUGAGAGGGUGCCAUUGAUACUGCAGGGCUUGAGUACAGAUGAGGUAGGCGGAAUUGACGGUGUAGCGGUGAAAUGCAUAGAUAUCGUCAAGAACACCGAUAGCGAAGGCAGCUUACCAAGCUGUAACCGACACUGAGGCACGAAAGUGUGGGGAUCAAACAGG
RNAcentral lists this ribosomal RNA (253 nucleotides) under uncultured bacterium. RNAcentral describes it as "partial 16S ribosomal RNA". It matches the Rfam family "Bacterial small subunit ribosomal RNA", at positions 524 to 776 of the family's 1533-position model. The record is from RNAcentral.